UGGGGAUCUGCCUAAUGGAGGGGGACAACUACUGGAAACGGUAGCUAAUACCGCAUAAUGUCUUUUUGCUUUUGCAGUUUAAAGACCAAAGUGGGGGACUUUUUUAUCAAUAUUAAGCCUCAUACCAUUAGAUGAACCCCAGACGAGAUUAGCUAGUAGGUAAGGUAAUGGCUUACCUAGGCGACGAUCUCUAGCUGGUCUGAGAGGAUGAUCAGCCACACUGGAACUGAGACACGGUCCAG
This 242-nucleotide ribosomal RNA is filed under the name uncultured bacterium. Its description in RNAcentral is "partial 16S ribosomal RNA". It matches the Rfam family "Bacterial small subunit ribosomal RNA", at positions 118 to 334 of the family's 1533-position model. The record is from RNAcentral.